This is a long non-coding RNA of Myxocyprinus asiaticus (Chinese sucker), 1796 nucleotides long. RefSeq lists it as uncharacterized. The transcript is spliced from 2 exons. The record is from RefSeq and is a predicted model, not a curated record. NCBI's taxonomy places the organism in Eukaryota, Metazoa, Chordata, Actinopteri, Cypriniformes, Catostomidae.
UCUCAGUUUGAUUAAUGAAACCACACUCUUUGAUAAGUGGGCUUGUGCGAAAAACAUUAUCAUUCGUCGCAUCACUGAACAGAACAUGAACAAGACGGCUGUGUCUGAGACAUGGACAGAUGUUUUAUGUGAGCUGGAGAGCAAGACCAUCAACUUAGCGUCUUAGCCAAGGUUAUGGAGUUUGUUUUAUGCAUGCCUGGGACAUCUGCAUCUGUGGAGCAUUUGUUCUCAUUAAUGAACGGAGCGUGGACACCGGAUAAAUCUCGACUCAGUGUAACAGUCAUGAAGGCAAUGCUUUUCGUACUUCUUAAUUUUGGACUGGAGUGCUCUGCAUUUUAUGAUAAACUCUUAAAAGGCAAGCGCACACUGAGAAAAAUUGCUGCCAGCGAAAAGUACAAGGUGGAAACAGUUACAGAUACGGAUGCACCCUCUACUUCGCAUUGAUCUGCACCUAGGGACAAAGAGGAUAUACGGCCAGUGAUGCCCACUCUUCCAAAUCCCUAUUAUGAGGCGUUGUCGGCUGGCUCCACUCUACCCCGGCGCGUUUGCCCUCUUCGGGUCUUUUCAGCUUUAUCUGGCGCCAGCUUCUCCAUCACACCUCCACCUAUCAACAGCUCCAGCUUUCCCCCAGCCUUGGAGGCUCCAGCGCUCCCCAGGUUGGCUCAGGGCAGCAUGGCCACCAGUCACUCCUUUUGGGAGCCACCAUGUUGGAAGCCAACAAUGUAAUCAAAACAGCCAUGUUAAAAUUGACUAAAGUUACAAAUAUGUUUCGAUUUGAUCAGUGCAUACAUUAGAAGGGAUCUAAUGUCUGAAUUGUUUUUUGGGGAAAUUGUAUGAUAAGGCAGAUGAUUAGUUUAGAUGUGGAUCUCCACAGCAAAAACCAGUAACACUUUACAAUAUGUUUAUGUACGUUAACAUUACUUAAUGCAUCAGGUGUCAUGAACUGGCGGGCCCUAUUUUAAGAGUGCAAGCAUUAUGUGCAAGACAAUGGGCAUAGCCAUGAAUUUUUGGUAUUUUCGUACAAGCAUGCGCUAAGUCUAGGUGCAAGUGGGUUUGGUGAAAUCGGCCCCGCAAUGCGCAAAAGGCGUUACCAAGUGCCAUUUAAUUCUGAAUUCUUCUCUGGUUAUUCAAUGUCUGUGUUCUAUUAUUUAGUCCAUUCCCUCAAGCACCAACAAUUUAAACAAAGACAGCACAUUAAUAAGAAGUUGGUAGUGUAAAUGGACUGUAUGCAAUGAAUUAGAAGAAUUACAAAUUCCGUAUUCCGCAUUCUUCUGUGCAUUAACUGCGUCCUUGAUGAAUGUCAGGCAUAUUUCUAUGACAGCGACACGCUCCUUUUAUAAGCAUGGAAAAUGUAAUUCUUGUCAGAAUUUGAAUGUACUGUAUGUGCCAUUAAAUUAAGUAAUUAUUAUUCAUCCUUUUCAUCUACUGACACAAAAAUCAUGGCUAGUAAUAAACAGUGAUUGCGCGCACUUCAAUUUAAAGCUUCAGCUUUGCAAUGAAUGACAGCAUACAAUUAGUGACAAUAUGGCUUUUGAAUGCAAAGAGUAUUUUAAGCAUUGCAAUGAAAAAAGAUUAAAAAUAGUGUAUAUGCCUUUUGCAAUUUUAAGCAUAGCAAUAAACAAGAGCAUACAAUUAGUGAAAAGUGUGUUUUGUACGCAAAGUUAAUAUUUUUAAGCUUAGUAAAUUUUUUAACAUUAAAAGCUGUAUGAACCCAAACUAACAAAGACCAAUAUUAUAAGUAUACAUUAACCAAGAUUAAUAAAUAAUGUAAAAAAAUAUUUAGCAUAUUAUUUGUU